This is a non-coding RNA of Picea glauca (white spruce), 119 nucleotides long. The record is from Rfam. NCBI's taxonomy places the organism in Eukaryota, Viridiplantae, Streptophyta, Pinopsida, Pinales, Pinaceae.
AAUGUAAUGCCUACAAUGUUAAUGCACCAGAUCCCAUUAGAAAUCCUUAGUUAAGAACACUUGGGAUUAAGUAGUACUAGAAUGGGUGACCUACUAGGAAUUCCUAGUGAUUUACAUUU